Molecule: transfer RNA, 64 nt
Filed under: Empoascanara circumscripta
Lineage: Eukaryota; Metazoa; Arthropoda; Insecta; Hemiptera; Cicadellidae
Description: tRNA-Trp
Source: RNAcentral
AAGAUUUUAAGUUAUAUUAAACUAUUAACCUUCAAAGUUAAUUAAGCUUCCAGAGUAAAUCUUA